GAGGAAAUGGGUUCAAUGAUACUGAUGAAGGAAGUGAUUACAGAUUCUCAAGUGCUAAAAUCUCCGAUGUUACUGGUGGAAUACUCAUGGAUUCUUCUGAUGAACCAAGAAAAAGCGGAUUUCGAAGUAUAUUUCCUGUUAAGGAGGCUGAUUUUACAUCAAUGGAUGAUUCCGCCUUCAUCGAUUUAAAAUUGGAUUUGUCAAUCGAGUCUA
Molecule: unclassified non-coding RNA, 213 nt
Filed under: Hevea brasiliensis (rubber tree)
Lineage: Eukaryota; Viridiplantae; Streptophyta; Magnoliopsida; Malpighiales; Euphorbiaceae
Source: RNAcentral